AUCUGGUUGUAGGUCGCUGUCUCCACCUGGUGGCGGUGUUUGUUACUGCAAUAAAAUAAAAAGGAUGGGUUCCAAACUGAGUUUAGCAGAAUUGGAGCCUCAGACUUUUCCUCAGAAGGAAAAGUUAGAUGUCAACAGACAAUACACAGGAGAAAAUCACAUUACACAUGCCUGGCACAGUAUGACAAAAGCACUCCAUCAGAUAUCAACGAAUGAAGUGUCCAGAGAUUCCAAUCAUCCUGAGUCUUUUCUGGGACAACAAAGAUUGUUUACCCAAGCCAGGAGGGGCCUUCCCUGCGAAAA
Triplophysa dalaica is the source of this 303-nucleotide long non-coding RNA. RefSeq lists it as uncharacterized. The record is from RefSeq and is a predicted model, not a curated record. The transcript has 3 exons. Lineage: Eukaryota; Metazoa; Chordata; Actinopteri; Cypriniformes; Nemacheilidae.